Molecule: long non-coding RNA, 244 nt
Filed under: Homo sapiens (human)
Lineage: Eukaryota; Metazoa; Chordata; Mammalia; Primates; Hominidae
Description: non-protein coding lnc-MALSU1-6:1
Source: RNAcentral
GCUUGAACCCGGGAGGCCGAGGUUGCAGUGAGCUGAGAUCGUGCCACUGCACUCCAGCCUGGGGACAAGAGUGAGACUCCAUCUCUUAAAAAAAAAAAAAAAAAAAAAAAAAAAAAAGACACAUAUGUUAAAAUUCUGUAGAUUUAGGGAAAAAAAAAAAGACUUGCAGAACCUUAACUGCUCCCACCUCUACCAGAAAUUGCAAAUUACCUACUCAGAGAGUGUGAAAACUCAGUCCAGCUAA